GAUUAAAAAAAAAAAAAACAUGCCCGCUCUCGUCCGAUCUCGGAGCCAAGCAGGGUUGGGCCUGGUUAGUACUUGGACGGGAGACCGCCUGGGAAUACCAGGUGCUGUAAGCU
Molecule: ribosomal RNA, 113 nt
Filed under: Seriola dumerili (greater amberjack)
Lineage: Eukaryota; Metazoa; Chordata; Actinopteri; Carangiformes; Carangidae
Source: RNAcentral